GAUCUACUCCCUCCGUUCGGAAUUACUUGUCUCGGAAAUGGAUGUACGUCUAAAUACAUCCAUUUCCGAGACAAAUAAUUCCGAACGGAGGGAGUAGUAG
Non-coding RNA from Triticum aestivum (bread wheat), 100 nucleotides. NCBI's taxonomy places the organism in Eukaryota, Viridiplantae, Streptophyta, Magnoliopsida, Poales, Poaceae. The record is from Rfam.